UUGUUAAAUAAUAUCUUGGGAUUAUCUUGAAAAUAUCCUUGAUUGGAUAUGAUUGGAAUUCUUGCAUGUUUAAGUUGAUCUUCGAUUAGGAGAAUCUUAAAGGUAGAUUUGGUAAUUAAUUCUAUCUUUAGUGCUUUGACUUUACUCCUUGCCACGAGUAAGGAGCUUGAUGAUUUCCUAGUGAGCUGCUCUAGCCUAUAAGGAUGUUGAACUAUGUGUGGGAAAAGAUUCAAGUGUCGUCUUCAAAAUUUUUGAAAUUAUAUUUUAAUCCACACGUAUCUUUCAUAUAUAUAAGGAGUGCACUUACAUGAAUGAACAAAACUUUCAUUCUUUGAAACAACUAUGUUUCGUGUUUGACAUGCACUAGAUAACUGAUUCAAGUGUUUUACUACAAAUCAUUUUUAUAUACAUUUUGGUGUGAAUUCAAUCUCACUGAUCCUUCUUCUAAUAAUUAACAGUUUAUGUCAUUAAUAUCCCUCUGUCUAUGAGAAAAACUCACUUCUCUGUGUGAUCUUAUUGUCCCUCAGUAGGGCCCAAUGUACGGCCGAAUAGUAACAUAGGGGGUAUUUCAAGGAAAGGGAUCCUCCUGGAUCCCUUCCUAAUCCACCAAGUUUGGAGAUCCAGGCCAUUGAAAUUUGAUCUAAUGGCUAAAGUUAUUAUAACUUUUAAAGUGGGUCCCUGUUUGUAGCCGUUUGAUCAAAUUUCAAUUAUUUGAAUUCCCAAACUUGGUGGAUUAGAAGAAAGGGAUCCUCCCUUUCCUUAUUUCAGGUCGUUAGUAGUUGGUAGCUGCCAAUAAAAAAUUUUCUUAAAAAGUUAAGUUGGUGGUAAACCCUUGACAAGAAAAGUUUGAUGGCAAACCCAUAUGACUAACUAGGUGGGAGGUUUGUCACAGAGAGAGAGAGAGAGAGAGAGAGAGAGAGAGAGAGAGAGAGAGAGAGAGAGAGAGAGAGAGAGAGAGAGAGAAAGAAGAAAGGGAUCCUCCCUUUCCUUAUUUCAGGUCGUUAGUAGUUGGUAGCUGCCAAUAAAAAAUUUUCUUAAAAAGUUAAGUUGGUGGUAAACCCUUGACAAGAAAAGUUUGAUGGCAAACCCAUAUGACUAACUAGGUGGGAGGUUUGUCACAGAGAGAGAGAGAGAGAGAGAGAGAGAGAGAGAGAGAUUCUCAUUUUUUAAUAAAAUUGUGAUUAGUUGUGGAGUUCACAUUACAUCCAAUUUUAACGAUCCGAACCGUCUAUUUUUCAAGUUGCACCUCAUAGAUCAUCCUUGCAAAAUAUUAGCCAAAUUAGAAAUGUUUAAGACAUCUAAUUGUGUUCAAAGAAAUUAAUGAAUACUUUGUUAUAUAAGAAACAAUGAAAUUUUAUCUUGAUAAUUAAAUAGGCAAAUGGUUUCGGAUUGAAUUGAAUUUUUGCAAGGAUGAUCUAUGAAUCGAGACUUACAAAAUAGACGGUUUUGAUCAUUG
RNAcentral lists this long non-coding RNA (1456 nucleotides) under Malus domestica (apple). RNAcentral's name for it is "long non-coding RNA (MDOM_LNC008611)". Lineage: Eukaryota; Viridiplantae; Streptophyta; Magnoliopsida; Rosales; Rosaceae. The record is from RNAcentral.